GAAUGCUCGGGUAGCCUAGUGGUUAGAGCGUCCGCCUCAAAAGCGGGAGGUCAAGGGUUAGAUUCCGGGCCGAUUCA
Molecule: non-coding RNA, 77 nt
Organism: Potamilus streckersoni
Lineage: Eukaryota; Metazoa; Mollusca; Bivalvia; Unionida; Unionidae
Source: the annotation of a GenBank genome assembly